Molecule: transfer RNA, 68 nt
Filed under: Marmota monax (woodchuck)
Lineage: Eukaryota; Metazoa; Chordata; Mammalia; Rodentia; Sciuridae
Description: tRNA.Thr
Source: RNAcentral
GUAGUAGCUCAGUGGUAAAGCACUUGCCUCGUAUGUGUGAGGCACUGGGUUCAAACCUCAGCACCACA